GGAGACGUCAACAGCGUCAAUAAACAACUACAACAACUGAAAACGUCGCCGAUUUGUACGACAAUGUCCAAACAACCCAUCGAUGGACCGCUCGAUGCGGAAAAGAAAGAGGUUACCGUCGCUGUGACGGCCGCCGAAAAUUUUGAAGAGCAAGUCGAGGAAGUCGGGAAAGUCACGCCGCCGGAUGGUGGUUACGGAUGGGUUGUGGUCGCCGCGAGUUUCCUGGUCAACAUGGCGGUCGACGGGGUGAUCUACACGUGUGGAAAGAUCCUUGUACCGAUCUGGGCAGAUCAGUUUGGAUCCACAUCGGUUGCCGGUGCUGUCAUCUCGAUUCUCACCGGAUGCUAUUAUCUUGCUGGACCACUGGCCUCGUCGUUCGUCAAUGUGUUCGGAAUCAGAUCGGUAGCGAUCGCCGGAUCGAUUCUCGCCACCACCGCCUUCCUCCUGUCCCGUUUCGCCAGCACAAUCUGGGAACUUUAUCUCCUGUUCGGAGUUCUCGGUGGAAUCGGUUUCGGAUGUAUGUAUCUCCCGUCGAUUGUCAUUCUCUCGACAUAUUUCGCGAAAAAACGCAGCGUCGCCACCGGAAUUGCCGUCUGCGGCUCGGGAAUCGGUACGAUGGUCUUCUCGACGAUCAACGGGCCCGUCUUUGAUUAUUUCGGUAAAGAUGUCGGCUCAUUUAUGGUUUAUCUGGCCGCAAUUGCCAUUUCCGGAUCACUUUUCUCGCUUCUUUUCGCUCCACUUAAAGCCACUGAACAUCAGGUCAAAAAAGUCGCGAAAAUGGUCAGAAAUUACGAAGGAAAGCCGGAAGAGCCGACACAGAGACUGCUCGAAGAUGUUCGUAACGAUUUGGAAGAGCUCAAUCGCCCCGGACACAAUGCUGACACUUUUUACGCCGGAAAUGCUCCAGUUAGCAGAAGCCGUUCCAAUACUUUGGACCGGAAAGCCGCCGAAUCUGCUGAAGCUCAUGUCGUCCACGCCACCGAACACCACACCGUCCAUCAUGUCGUCAAGAAGAGCAAAUUCACCAAAUUCAAGGAAUCACUGUGCUCUGUGCUCGACAAGGAUCUUCUCUUCUCUCCAUCAUUCAUGACUCUUGCCGUCUCAGGAACUUUCACCGUCCUCUCGUUCCUUGUUCCAUUCGUCUACUUGGCUCUUGCCAUGAAGCAGAAGAAUCCGGAUUUUACUGAUGCUGAAUUGUCACUUCCAGUCACUCUAAUCGGUGCUUUCAACAUUAUGUUCCGUAUCGGAUGUGGAAUGGUCGCUGAUCAUCCGAAAAUGUCGGCUCUUCAAGUUUCCAACGUCGCCACCAUCAUCGCCGGAACCUCGAUGCUCUUUGUGCCAUUUUGCACUGAGCUCUGGCAUUACGUCGUUUUCUGCAUCCCGUUCAGUGCCGGAGUUGCUUGCUUCGCCGCUCUUCGUUCGGUCAUCUGCGUCGAGCUGAUCGGAGUCGAAAAGCUGUCGAACGCGUUCGGCAUCCUGAUGGUUUUCAUGGGAAUCGGCGCUGUCGUCGGCGGGCCGAUUGCCGCUCAAAUCAAGGAUAUCACUGGCAACUACGACAUUAGCUUCUACGUGAUGGGCAUCAUUUUCGCCUUCUCCGGCGUCAUGACUAUCCGUUUGCCAGAGCUGAAGGCGUGGGAAGAGUCGAAAAAACUCGCACGCGCCGGAACCGAGAUGCGUGUGAUCUCUGAAGCAUCCUAA
Molecule: unclassified non-coding RNA, 1698 nt
Filed under: Caenorhabditis elegans
Lineage: Eukaryota; Metazoa; Nematoda; Chromadorea; Rhabditida; Rhabditidae
Description: Non-coding transcript of protein-coding gene mct-2
Source: RNAcentral